This 445-nucleotide ribosomal RNA is filed under the name uncultured bacterium. RNAcentral describes it as "partial 16S ribosomal RNA". It matches the Rfam family "Bacterial small subunit ribosomal RNA", at positions 354 to 796 of the family's 1533-position model. The record is from RNAcentral.
GUGAGGAAUAUUGGUCAAUGGGCGAGAGCCUGAACCAGCCAUGCCGCGUGCAGGAAGACGCAUCUAUGGUGUGUAAACUGCUUUUGUACGGGAAGAAACACUCCCUCGUGAGGGAGCUUGACGGUACCGUAAGAAUAAGGAUCGGCUAACUCCGUGCCAGCAGCCGCGGUAAUACGGAGGAUCCAAGCGUUAUCCGGAAUCAUUGGGUUUAAAGGGUUCGUAGGCGGUUUAAUAAGUCAGUGGUGAAAGCCCAUCGCUCAACGAUGGAACGGCCAUUGAUACUGUUAGACUUGAAUUACAAGGAAGUAACUAGAAUAUGUAGUGUAGCGGUGAAAUGCUUAGAUAUUACAUGGAAUACCAAUUGCGAAGGCAGGUUACUACUUGUGGAUUGACGCUGAUGGACGAAAGCGUGGGGAGCGAACAGGAUUAGAUACCCUAGUAGUCC